Long non-coding RNA from Cebus imitator (Panamanian white-faced capuchin), 1840 nucleotides. RefSeq lists it as uncharacterized. The record is from RefSeq and is a predicted model, not a curated record. NCBI's taxonomy places the organism in Eukaryota, Metazoa, Chordata, Mammalia, Primates, Cebidae. The transcript is spliced from 2 exons.
GAGAUCUAAAGAAAGGGAAAAAAUCUAAAGAGAAGGAUCACCCAUAGAAGAAAAACGGAAGGGGUAAUCAGAGGCCCACAGGCCCACACUGCUUCGCAGGCAGAGUCUACAUUUCUGAGGCAUGAGGACAUUCAUAUGAAUAUUAUACUUACAAAAGCUCUUCCACAGAAUAUAAAAAGAUGAUCUCCAACUCAUUCAAUAAAGCUAGUAUUUCCCUGACACCAAAUCCAGACCUCACUAGUGCAGAAAAUAUAUGGGACACCCCACUUGUGCUAAUGACACAAAAAUAUUUCAACUAAAACAUGAACAAAUACGAUAAUGCGAUGUGCUAGGAGAUCACCUUUCCUAGGAAUGAAAAGAUGGUUCAAGGUUAGGGAACCUAUCGGUGUAAUUUCCUGCAAUAACCGUUAACAGACAAUGAUGCUAUGACCGUCUCAAGAAAGCAGCAGAUAGUGUGUUCCUGCUCCGUCCUCUGCCUGACCUGCUGAGGUCUUCUUGCAGAGAUUAGAAUCUGGAAGCUCCAUUUCCCAGGCUUUCUUGCCAUGGUUCCAGUUUCGUUUCUACCCCUGAGGGUACUCACUGGUUUGGCAAAAGGGGAAGAAGGCUGGACUGGAGAUGUGAGUGCUGUUGGGUGGGUCACAGGCUGCCUGGCCCCGCUGCUGCACCAUUCACAGAACACCAUCACGAAAAUCCUCCUCCUGGAGUGCGCUAUGCACACGCCCCACCUUGGGGCGGGAAGGGGUUCUGCAAUAUAUGUUUUGCAGAAGAGAAUGGGCAUCAUCUUUUCAAAGUAUUAGGUACCAAGGGUUCCCCCCAGAACAUGUAAGUUCCCCUCUGUUGGCUGAAAUAAUAAAAGAAAUGGAGAAAAUCCACUUUCACGAAUUCUAAUGUAGAUACUGUUUUUGUGUGUGUGUGCAAAACAGUUCUUGUAUUUUUCUGUACAAGAUGUGGCACAAUAAAUGCUGAGUUUCUUGGGGCUAUGGAUAACAUUUCGGGAGCGGUGUCUCACUCGUCCACAUAGGUUAGUGACUUGCAGGCAUUCUUUGCUCUGUGUCAAAUGCCUCUGUAUUAACCAGUUAAAACGAAGCAAGUUGGACCUGGCAGGCUCCAAGUCUCUGCAGGCAGUAAUAGAUGCUCUCAGUGAUUGAUAUUGAACAUCUUUACAACAAGCAUCCUGCAAGCUGCUUUACGAACGUCAUCUGAUUUAGUCUUCGCUAUGGAUUGAUUUAUUCAGUGAAUUUUUGAGGGGGAACUCCUAUGCAAAAAACACUGAGCUAAGGCCAGAGGAUGAAGCGAUUAAUAAACCACAUGUGGUCUCUGCCCUCAUGGAACUUGCAAUGUGUCAGAGAAGAAUCUAUGAAAACAUGAUUGGGGUCACAACAAGUAUCUUCCAAUUUGACCUCAAAGGCAGCUGAAAACCUGGAAUUGGAUAUUGAGUAUGAAACAGAAAAAUCCCAAGGCAGGCCCUCUAUUUCCAGCCUGAAAAACAGAAAAACCUGCAGGCCCUGCCGGUCAGAGGGAGUGGAGGAAAUUCUUUUCCAUCUUUUAUUGGUGGUUGUCCUUUCUCGUCCUUGUGUGGGAACAAUGACUCUGACAACCGCAGAUUUCUUUCACAGGCCCGUGAGUCAGUGGCCGUGGGAUGGCGUUUGUUAACUGCUGAAAGAGAACUGUCAACACAGAAUUCUUUACCCCGAAAAUUUCCUUCAGGAAUGAAGACGAAAUAAAGUCAUUUGCAGAUGAAGGAAAACGAAGAGAAAUUCUCCCCAGCAAACCUGCUUGCUUAUUUGAUUUUGGUACCUGUCGUUAACCCUCAUAAAUAAAACCUGCCCUUGUGAUAUUA